RNAcentral lists this ribosomal RNA (332 nucleotides) under uncultured bacterium. RNAcentral's name for it is "bacterial SSU rRNA". It matches the Rfam family "Bacterial small subunit ribosomal RNA", at positions 568 to 898 of the family's 1533-position model. The record is from RNAcentral.
CGUGCAGGCGGUUUGGUAAGUUGGAUGUGAAAGCUCCUGGCUCAACUGGGAGAGGUCGUUCAAUACUACCAGACUUGAGAGUGGUAGAGGGAGGUGGAAUUCCCGGUGUAGUGGUGAAAUGCGUAGAUAUCGGGAGGAACACCAGUGGCGAAAGCGGCCUCCUGGACCAUUUCUGACGCUCAGACGCGAAAGCUAGGGGAGCAAACGGGAUUAGAGACCCCGGUAGUCCUAGCUGUAAACGAUGUGAACUUGGCGUCGGUGGUGUAAAAACCAUCGGUGCCGCAGCCAACGCGAUAAGUUCACCGCCUGGGGACUACGGCCGCAAGGUUAAA